RNAcentral lists this ribosomal RNA (301 nucleotides) under uncultured bacterium. RNAcentral describes it as "partial 16S ribosomal RNA". It matches the Rfam family "Bacterial small subunit ribosomal RNA", at positions 509 to 807 of the family's 1533-position model. The record is from RNAcentral.
CAGCAGCCGCGGGAAAACGUAGGGUGCAAGCGUUAAUCGGAAUUACUGGGCGUAAAGCGUGCGCAGGCGGUUUGUUAAGACAGAUGUGAAGUCCCCGGGCUCAACCUGGGAACUGCAUCUUAUACUGCGUAGCUGGAGUGCAGUAGAGGGUAGUGGAAUUUCCGGUGUAGCGGUGAAAUGCGUAGAUAUCGGAAGGAACACCAGUGGCGAAGGCGGCUACCUGGACUGACACUGACACUGAGGCGCGAAAGCGUGGGGAGCAAACAGGAUUAGAUACCCGUGUAGUCCCUGUCUCUUAUAC